This is a long non-coding RNA of Contarinia nasturtii (swede midge), 792 nucleotides long. RefSeq lists it as uncharacterized. Lineage: Eukaryota; Metazoa; Arthropoda; Insecta; Diptera; Cecidomyiidae. The transcript is spliced from 4 exons. The record is from RefSeq and is a predicted model, not a curated record.
AAAAUGACAUUUGUAUAUUCAUGACAUAAUUUUGACAUAACAAUAAAGAAUAAAAUUGAGAAUUUGCCACCAAACAAUUAUUUUAACUGUAAAUAAUGGAUAUUAAGGAAGAAAAUCAAAUGUGUUUCAAUGCACUAAGCAGUAUCAAAAAUGAAAUUGAGAACAUCAAAGCUGAAUUGUGCAUCACAUCGAAUAUGAAUAGCUACAUUCCAAAUAUUUUCAAUCGAACACAAAAAGUAGUGUUACGGUUUUUCUUUGAAUGCUUUCAAUUUUUCAAAAAUAGAAAACAAGUAAACUAUGGAUGCUUUUUAAUGCAAUCAAUGAUUGGCGCUUAUCGCGAUUGGUAUAGGAAGUCCACUCUCCACUGAAGUACUCCUUCAACUGCAAAUUCCGACUCAACCUUAUCAAGCUCUGUGGUGUGGUCUACCUAAUCCCACCAGGCGGUCUUUGAAGGAAUGUCUCGGUACGGCUGCAAAUGUAUUGAUCCAAUUCCAGAAAGCGAUCAAAGAAGAAGAUACUCAGCUGGGCAAAGAAGUAAGCAUUUUAACUGCAGUUUUGAAAGGCCAAUUUGAUGCUCUGUUACAAAAAAUCCAAGGUAUACCAGUGCACUGGAAUGACUGCGCAACACCAGCCGCAAUGUUCGAUAAAGUAGCCGACACGUUGGAAAAUGCAAUUAAAACUUUUUACGCGCAAGAUUUCUAUAAGAUUUUAUUCAAAUAAAAAAUUGUAUACAUCUUAUAUCAAUGAACAAAAUCAAAGCAAUUAAAUGUGUUGGAGAGUGAGAAAACCCCA